RNAcentral lists this ribosomal RNA (426 nucleotides) under uncultured bacterium. RNAcentral describes it as "bacterial SSU rRNA". It matches the Rfam family "Bacterial small subunit ribosomal RNA", at positions 359 to 776 of the family's 1533-position model. The record is from RNAcentral.
GAAUUUUGGGCAAUGGGCGAAAGCCUGACCCAGCAACGCCGCGUGAGGGAUGAAGGCCUUCGGGUCGUAAACCUCUGUCGGGAGGGACGAAAGGUCGGCGGUCGAAUAGGCCGAAGGCUUGACGGUACCUCUAGAGGAAGCGCCGGCUAACUCCGUGCCAGAAGCCGCGGUAAGACGGAGGGCGCAAGCGUUGUUCGGAAUUACUGGGCGUAAAGCGCGUGUAGGCGGCCAGGUAAGUCGGAUGUGAAAGCCCGGGGCCCAACCCCGGAACUGCACCCGAUACUGCCUGGCUGGAGUCCCGGAGAGGAUGGCGGAAUUUCCGGUGUAGAGGUGAAAUUCGUAGAUAUCGGAAGGAACACCAGUGGCGAAGGCGGCCAUCUGGACGGUGACUGACGCUGAGACGCGAAAGCGUGGGGAGCAAACAGG